AUCGCUUGUCCGUGAUCAGACUUGGGCCAAAUGUUGUGUAAGGCUGGAUUUAUUGCAAGUACGUGAGAAGCCAAAGACUAAACUAAAGAAAACCAUCACAUUAGGCCCAGAAUUUCAUACAGAUAUGGGCCACUGUCGGGCCAACGUGGACUGCCGGCAUGGUGACGGCCACCACCGAUGACUGCAUGGCUGCCGGCGAGGUCCGGCGCCUCCUCCCGCACCUGCCCCGUCUUCUGCACCUCCGGCUGGCCAGCGCCUAGCCCCGCGAGGCCGCCUCCAAGCUUCCCUGUCCACGCA
Brachypodium distachyon (stiff brome) is the source of this 297-nucleotide long non-coding RNA. RefSeq lists it as uncharacterized. NCBI's taxonomy places the organism in Eukaryota, Viridiplantae, Streptophyta, Magnoliopsida, Poales, Poaceae. The record is from RefSeq and is a predicted model, not a curated record. The transcript has 2 exons.